Anolis carolinensis (green anole) is the source of this 2921-nucleotide long non-coding RNA. RefSeq lists it as uncharacterized. The record is from RefSeq and is a predicted model, not a curated record. The transcript has 4 exons. NCBI's taxonomy places the organism in Eukaryota, Metazoa, Chordata, Lepidosauria, Squamata, Anolidae.
CCAUUGAGCGACACGGCGGAGGUUUCUGGGAGUCGAAGUCCAAAACUUGCAGGCCACCGCAAACGACACGCUUGGGCACUUUAAUGGGUUUUGGACUUCAACUCCCAGCAUGCCUCGCCAUUGGGCGACACGGCAGAGGCUUCUGGGAGUUGAAGUCCAAAACAAGUUGACAGGGAAGGACUGAACCGGAAGUGCCUCACAUUUCAGGAUUUCGAUUAGAUUUUACAACAGUUGCAUCUCCUUAUCUGGAAUUCCAAAAUAGCAGACCCAGCAAUUCAAUAUCCAGUGGGCGAAGCCUUCCUUCCCUGCGGCCACUCACCGGGCUCUUCCCACGCCGUGUCCAGGGCUUCCUCCAGGGCAGCGUGGUCAACGUGGCAUCGGUAGAGGUCCCUGUCCUUGGGGUCAACCUCGAUACGGAGCCAAGUGUGGAAAGUCCCGUCCGAAUUAGGUAAGACACCCCCGCGAAGGGUCUCCUGCUCCCAGACUUCGCCGUCCUUCUUCCAGACGGCAUCGAUCUCCUUUGGGUAAAAGCCGUCCACCCGGCAGCUGGAUGUUCCUGGCCAGGUCCAGCGCUACCAGGUUCCGGUGCUUGCCAAACCCGUGGGUGUCGAGGUAUUGAAAUGCUGCGAUGGGAAGAGACACAAAAUCAAGGGUCCUACCUUGAUUUCGGUUCGAUGGAAAGAGAAGCUGAGGAUGACAACGGCUCCAAGGAAAAGACAUACGAAAGUUGUCUUCUUCGAGGCACAGUCCAUUCUCAUCCUGCGGAAAACAACAAAAUUGUCCCCUUUUGACAUUUGGCGCGGGCAAGGAGCAAAACCUUGCGCCGGAUCAAGACUUAAAACUGUUUUUUUUGUUUAUAGGCUCAAAAGCUAAUGACGUGGUUGUCUCUAUCUGGCUCGAAGCCCAAGAGGAAACAUUAAUAUAUUUGGACAAGUCUUAACACCUUGGAAAUCAUGGAUCGUAUUUAAUCUCCGUCUUGCUGAGUCCUGGGAGCUUUUCCAAAGAUGAUGAUGAUGAUGAAUAGAUGGGAUUCAGCUUUGGAGAGACAUCUGAUGUGUACCAAUGGGUCUUAAUAAUAAUAAUAAUAAUAGUAAUAAUAAUAAUAAUAAUUUAUUUAUUUAUUUGCUACAUUUAUAUGACGCCCUUCUCACCCCGAAGGGGACUCAGAGCGGCUUACAAAUUAAAUUUACAUACAAUAUUAUAUUAGUAUAGUACAAUACUGGUAACAAAUUACUAUAUUGUACUGUAUCAACAUAUUGUAAUAUUAUUAGUAAUAUUACAUGUAAAAUAUGAUAUAUAAUUAAUAUUAUUAUAUUGUAUUAUUAGUACUAUAUCGUAUUACAAUAUAAUAUUAUGAAUAUUAUAUGUAUAUACAAUAUGUUAUAAUUAUUACAUAUUAUUGUAAAUUAUAUUGUAUAUAUAUAUUUACAUAUAAACACACACACAUAUAUAACAAUAAUAACAAGAAAACCGCACUACAAACUAGAGCUGUACACAACAGCUGUACACAACAGUUGGCACAACAAAACAUUGCAUGGAAAGUUCCUUGACAAAAUUGAAGGAAAAGCUGAUAAGGAGAAGACCUGGCUCUGGCUCACGAAUGGGACCCUGAAGAAGGAGACGGAAGGCCUGAUCCUUGCAGCCCAGAAGCAAGCCGCCCCGAGUCCCCACGGGGAGAUGGUGUCGGGGUAUAAAUAAAGUUUUAUUAUUAUUAUUAUUAUUAUUAAGCCAUCAGAACAAAUGCAAUUAAGGGCAAGAUCGAAAAAUCAGCUGAUGACCCAAAAUGUGGACUGUGCAAGGAAACCGACGAAACCAUGGAUCAUAUCCUCAGCUGCUGUAAGAAAAUUGCACAGACAGACUACAAACAGAGGCACAACUAUGUGGCCCAAAUGAUUCAUUGGAACUUAUGCCUCAAGUCCCACCUCCCAGCAGCAAAGAACUGGUGGGAUCACAAACCUGCAAAAGUAUUGAAAAAUGAGCAUGCAAAGAUACUGUGGGACUUCCGAAUCCAGACUGACAAACACACCAGACAUCUCAGUUGUGGAAAAGAAAAAGGUUUGGAUCAUUGAUGUCGCCAUCCCAGGUGACAGUCACAUUGACGAAAAACAAGAGGAAAAACUCAGGACCUCAAGAUUGAACUUCAAAGACUCUGGCAGAAACCAGUGCAGGUGGUCCCGGUGGUGAUGGGCACACUGGGUCAUGUUAUACAACGAAUUUGACAGAAAAAGUAAAUACAGUAGAGUCUCACUUAUCCAACAUAAACGGGCCGGCAGAACGUUGGAUAAGCGAAUAUGUUGGAUAAUAAGGAGGGAUUAGGGAAAAGCCUAUUAAACAUUAGGUUAUGAUUUUACAAAUUAAGCAUCAAAACAUCAUGUUAUACAACAAAUUUGACAGAAAAAGUAGUUUAAUACGCAGUAAUGCUAUGUAGUAAUUACUAUAUUUACAAAUUUAGCACCAAAAUAUCACGAUGUAUUGAAAACAUUGACUACAAAAAUGCGUUGGAUAAUCCAGAACGUUGGAUAAGCGACACUCUACUGUACAAAUAAAUAAAAGUAGUUCAAUGCGCAGUAAUGCUAUGUAGUAAUUACUGUAUUUACGAAUUUAGCACCAAAAUAUCACGAUUGACUACAUUGCUGCAUUGUAUGAGGGUUGAAUGAAAACUAAUGCCUCCACCUUCAUUACGUGGGCUUGGAUAAUAAUUUGAUUAAUAAAUCAAACGCAAAAAUAAUCCGUAGAAUGUGCUCUUUAACUACCACUAUUUCCAUAUACUCACCAGACAAUUGGAUACGUUUCUGCCAACGAUGAACAAGUUUUCUGAAGCCGUCACUGAGAAGUCAACACUCUGUUUCCGCAACCGGCGUCUCACAGUUCUCCCAAUAUCCGAUAGCCAAGCAAAGCAAUAAUGUGACCCACGCCUUCUU